Molecule: ribosomal RNA, 558 nt
Filed under: Naganishia albida
Lineage: Eukaryota; Fungi; Basidiomycota; Tremellomycetes; Filobasidiales; Filobasidiaceae
Description: eukaryotic LSU rRNA
Rfam family: 5.8S ribosomal RNA (bases 124-277)
Source: RNAcentral
CACAUCAUAUCCAUAACACCUGUGCACUUGUCGGAUGGCUUAGUGAAGACCGCAAGGUUGGAUCUAUCCAUCUACUUUACAUAACAAUUCUGUAACAAAUGUAGUCUUAUUAUAACAUAAUAAAACUUUCAACAACGGAUCUCUUGGCUCUCGCAUCGAUGAAGAACGCAGCGAAAUGCGAUAAGUAAUGUGAAUUGCAGAAUUCAGUGAAUCAUCGAAUCUUUGAACGCACCUUGCGCUCCUUGGUAUUCCGAGGAGCAUGCCUGUUUGAGUGUCAUGAAAACCCUCAACCCUAGAUUGGUUAAAACCUUUCUUUGGUUUGGAUUUGGACGUUUGCCGAUGAUAAGUCGGCUCGUCUUAAAAGUAAUAGCUGGAUCUGUCUCGCGACAUGGUUUGACUUGGCGUAAUAAGUAUUUCGCUAAGGACAUCUUCGGAUGGCCGCGUUGCAGGACUAAAGACCGCUUUCUAAUCCAUUGAUCUUACGAUUAAUAUUCUUGACAUCUGGCCUCAAAUCAGGUAGGACUACCCGCUGAACUUAAGCAUAUCAAUAAGCGGAGG